This 398-nucleotide ribosomal RNA is filed under the name uncultured Sporidiobolales. RNAcentral's name for it is "eukaryotic LSU rRNA". The stretch from base 1 to 127 matches the Rfam family "5.8S ribosomal RNA", at positions 28 to 154 of the family's 154-position model. The record is from RNAcentral. Lineage: Eukaryota; Fungi; Basidiomycota; Microbotryomycetes; Sporidiobolales.
UUGCAUCGAUGAAGAACGCAGCGAAAUGCGAUAAGUAAUGUGAAUUGCAGAAUUCAGUGAAUCAUCGAAUCUUUGAACGCACCUUGCGCUCCAUGGUAUUCCGUGGAGCAUGCCUGUUUGAGUGUCAUGAAUACUUCAACCCUCCUCUUUCUUAAUGAUUGAAGAGGUGUUUGGUUUCUGAGCGCUGCUGGCCUUUACGGUCUAGCUCGUUCGUAAUGCAUUAGCAUCCGCAAUCGAACUUCGGAUUGACUUGGCGUAAUAGACUAUUCGCUGAGGAAUUCUAGUCUUCGGAUUAGAGCCGGGUUGGGUUAAAGGAAGCUUCUAAUCAGAAUGUCUACAUUUUAAGAUUAGAUCUCAAAUCAAGGAGGACUACCCGCUGAACUUAANCAUAUCAAUAA